GGGUUCCGCUUGACUCUGCAUUCUCCUACUUCCCUGCCUGCUUACUCUCUGCCAUCAUAGUUUUUUGCUUCAACCUUCAAAUGUAGCCAUUCUUUUUCUAAAGCGCUCCUUUGUUUCAGGUCAGCCUUUCAAGAUGGAUCAUUUCAAUUCAUUACAUCUUAACUAGCCACAAGGGGAAUAGGCUGUGAUGGAGGAGAAGCUACCCCUCAGCACAGGAUUUUGGUAGAAUAAGAAUAAAAAUGACAAGUCCCUUCCUGAAAAGCUCUUCAUUGUCUCUUGAAAACGGUCUGUGAAAGUGCCAAACCACCAGCUCUCCAGAUGUGGCUGAAUAUCAAGGCAUCCUCACAUGGUGGAAGGGACAGAAGGCAAAAAAGGGAGGAACACUGUGUCCUCACAUGGCAGAAGAGCAGAAGAGAAUGAACUCAUUCCCUCAAGCCCUGCUAGAAGGGCACUACUCUCAUCCACUAGGACUCCAACCUCACAGCUUCAUCACCUCUUAAAAGCCCCACCUCUUCAUACUAUCAGUUGAUUAUUAAAUUCCAACAUCUGAAUGUUGGAGGACACAUCCAGACCGUAGCAUCCCUCAAAAAAAGAAUAAAGAUGUUCCAUA
This 610-nucleotide long non-coding RNA is filed under the name Homo sapiens (human). Its description in RNAcentral is "non-protein coding MLIP-AS1:5". The record is from RNAcentral. Lineage: Eukaryota; Metazoa; Chordata; Mammalia; Primates; Hominidae.